GGGGCUGUAGCUCAGUGGUGGAGUGCUCGCUUAGCAUGUGUGAGGCACUGGGUUCGAUCCUCAGCACCA
This 69-nucleotide transfer RNA is filed under the name Ictidomys tridecemlineatus (thirteen-lined ground squirrel). RNAcentral describes it as "Spermophilus tridecemlineatus (thirteen-lined ground squirrel) tRNA". It matches the Rfam family "tRNA". From Rfam's summary of the family: Transfer RNA (tRNA) molecules are approximately 80 nucleotides in length. Lineage: Eukaryota; Metazoa; Chordata; Mammalia; Rodentia; Sciuridae. The record is from Rfam by way of RNAcentral.